This 371-nucleotide ribosomal RNA is filed under the name uncultured bacterium. RNAcentral describes it as "bacterial SSU rRNA". It matches the Rfam family "Bacterial small subunit ribosomal RNA", at positions 525 to 896 of the family's 1533-position model. The record is from RNAcentral.
ACGUAGGGUGCAAGCGUUAAUCGGAAUUACUGGGCGUAAAGCGUGCGCAGGCGGUUUUGUAAGACAGGCGUGAAAUCCCCGGGCUCAACCUGGGAAUGGCGCUUGUGACUGCAAAGCUGGAGUGCGGCAGAGGGGGAUGGAAUUCCGCGUGUAGCAGUGAAAUGCGUAGAUAUGCGGAGGAACACCAAUGGCGAAGGCAAUCCCCUGGGCCUGCACUGACGCUCAUGCACGAAAGCGUGGGGAGCAAACAGGAUUAGAUACCCUGGUAGUCCACGCCCUAAACGAUGUCAACUGGUUGUUGGUCCUUAGCUGGAUCAGUAACGAAGCUAACGCGUGAAGUUGACCGCCUGGGGAGUACGGCCGCAAGGUUG